Molecule: ribosomal RNA, 253 nt
Filed under: uncultured bacterium
Lineage: Bacteria
Description: partial 16S ribosomal RNA
Rfam family: Bacterial small subunit ribosomal RNA
Source: RNAcentral
UACGUAGGUGGCGAGCGUUGUCCGGAUUUACUGGGCGUAAAGGGCGCGUAGGCGGCCUCCUAAGUCAGACGUGAAAUCCCCCGGCUUAACCUGGGAACUGCGUCUGAUACUGGGAGGCUUGAGUAUGGGAGAGGGAUGUAGAAUUCCAGGUGUAGCGGUGAAAUGCGUAGAUAUCUGGAGGAAUACCGGUGGCGAAGGCGGCAUCCUGGACCAUUACUGACGCUGAGGCGCGAAGGCUAGGGGAGCAAACGGG